UGCUUUAGAGCCAUGAGUCACCAGCCCUUCAGAGCUGGGACGGCCACUCCGCUGACAUCUCUCAAGGUUCAGCUCCACGUUCCCUCACCAUACAGCCCUCCUGAGGUCUCUGCUUUCUCUACUCCCCUAGACCAAAGUACCCAAUGAAGGAUGGGUCCUGGCUCCUCCUGUAGCUGUGGGAAAAACCAGUCACUUCCAGCUCUAGACCUCAGUGGGAGGUCUCACCCGGACUCACAAUGGCACCGCUUCACGGCCCUCUGGUCAUUCCUCUAUCAAGGCACUUGGUUGCGUAACAUCCUCGGCAUCCCCCCCUUGACGGGAAAUGUCUGCGAGGCUCACACCACCAUAGUCAGCUUCGACUCUCCAGCCUCAUUCGGUGCUUUGCAUCUAGGAAAUGCCUAAUGCCUGUUUGUUGAAUGAAUAACUUUGUCUUGCAAAAUAUCUGUUGGUAUUCUUUAAGAGAUCGUUUCCUGGGACACCUAGGUAGCUCAGUAGGUUGAGGGGCUGACUCUUGGUUUCGGCUCAGGUCAUGAUCUCACCGCACCUGAGAUCAAGCCCCUGGAGAUCCAACCCCACAUCUAACUCUGGGCUGAUAGCCUGGAGCCUGCUUUGGAUUCUCUCUCUUCCUGUCUCUCUGUCCCUCAGGGUGCUCUGUCUCUCUCUCCUCUCUCAAAAAUCAAUAAUCAAACAUUUGAUUUUUGAGAGAGGAGAGAGAGACAGAGCCUGAGCAGGGGAGGGACAUAGAAAAAAUAAAAAAAAAAAAAUUUAAUGUCUGAUUAUUUAC
Molecule: long non-coding RNA, 784 nt
Filed under: Felis catus (domestic cat)
Lineage: Eukaryota; Metazoa; Chordata; Mammalia; Carnivora; Felidae
Description: lncRNA (ENSFCAG00000042642.2)
Source: RNAcentral